Molecule: ribosomal RNA, 557 nt
Filed under: uncultured bacterium
Lineage: Bacteria
Description: bacterial SSU rRNA
Rfam family: Bacterial small subunit ribosomal RNA
Source: RNAcentral
ACGGGUGCGUAACGCGUGGGAAUCUGCCCUUUGGUUCGGAAUAACAGCUGGAAACGGCUGCUAAUACCGGAUGAUGACGAAAGUCCAAAGAUUUAUCGCCAGAGGAUGAGCCCGCGUUGGAUUAGGUAGUUGGUGGGGUAAAGGCCUACCAAGCCGACGAUCCAUAGCUGGUCUGAGAGGAUGAUCAGCCACACUGGGACUGAGACACGGCCCAGACUCCUACGGGAGGCAGCAGUGGGGAAUAUUGGACAAUGGGCGAAAGCCUGAUCCAGCAAUGCCGCGUGAGUGAUGAAGGCCCUAGGGUUGUAAAGCUCUUUUACCCGGGAAGAUAAUGACUGUACCGGGAGAAUAAGCCCCGGCUAACUCCGUGCCAGCAGCCGCGGUAAUACGGAGGGGGCUAGCGUUGUUCGGAAUUACUGGGCGUAAAGCGCACGUAGGCGGCUUUGUAAGUCAGAGGUGAAAGCCUGGAGCUCAACUCCAGAACUGCCUUUGAGACUGCAUCGCUUGAAUCCAGGAGAGGUCGGUGGAAUUCCGAGUGUAGAGGUGAAAUUCGUAGA